Molecule: ribosomal RNA, 362 nt
Filed under: uncultured bacterium
Lineage: Bacteria
Description: bacterial SSU rRNA
Rfam family: Bacterial small subunit ribosomal RNA
Source: RNAcentral
GACGAACGCUGGCGGCGUGCUUAACACAUGCAAGUCGAGCGGUAAGGCCUUUCGGGGUACACGAGCGGCGAACGGGUGAGUAACACGUGGGUGACCUGCCUUUAGCUUCGGGAUAAGCCUGGGAAACCGGGUCUAAUACCGGAUAUGACCUCAUGUCGCAUGGGUGUGGGGUGGAAAGUUCUUCGGCUAGAGAUGGGCCCGCGGCCUAUCAGCUUGUUGGUGGGGUGAUGGCCUACCAAGGCGACGACGGGUAGCCGGCCUGAGAGGGCGACCGGCCACACUGGGACUGAGACACGGCCCAGACUCCUACGGGAGGCAGCAGUGGGGAAUCUUGCGCAAUGGGCGAAAGCCUGACGCAGCGA